This is an RNA transcript of Vitis riparia (riverbank grape), 2207 nucleotides long. It is a transcript of the gene named probable tetraacyldisaccharide 4'-kinase, mitochondrial, with no coding region annotated. The record is from RefSeq and is a predicted model, not a curated record. Lineage: Eukaryota; Viridiplantae; Streptophyta; Magnoliopsida; Vitales; Vitaceae. The transcript is spliced from 9 exons.
CUUUCAUUGUUUCUCUGGCUGCUGAUUCUGGGGUUUUAGUAUUUCAUAAUUACUCAAUGGAGAAAUUGAGGAAAGUGGUGAAUGAAAUUGCUUACACAACGCCACUAUCUCAAAACCUCUCUAAACUCUCGCCUCUUCAAUGCUCUCUCAUCCCUCUCCUCUUUCUCAGUUCCUCUUUCUACACCCUCGCUCUCUCCCUCCGCCACUUCCUCUACCGCCACCGCCUUUUUCGCCAACACCGGUUGCCAGUGCCAGUUAUCAGCGUCGGAAAUAUGACGUGGGGAGGCAAUGGGAAGACGCCCAUGGUUGAAUUCAUGGCCCUCUGGUUGGCCAAUUCUGGAAUUUCACCUCUGAUUCUUUCUAGGGGUUAUGCUGGUGGGGAUGAAGCUAAAAUGCUUCAAAGGCGGCUUCUUGGAAGAUCUGCUAAGAUUGGUGUGGGUGCAAACAGGGCAGCCACUGCUGCUCAUUUUUUUGAAAGAUAUGGUUACGUGGAUACUGGCCCUGCUACAUGCUUGGAGAGGCUUUGUUUUGACCAAACAAGGGGAAGUCAUCUUGAUGUAGACGAAAUUGGUGCGGUGAUUCUAGAUGAUGGAAUGCAGCAUCGGAGAUUGUGGCGUGAUCUGGAGAUUGUUAUGGUAAAUGGACUGAUGCCAUGGGGAAACUGUCAUUUACUCCCACUUGGACCUUUGAGGGAACCUUUGACUGCACUCAGACGAGCAGAUGUUGCCAUAGUCCAUCAUGCAGACUUGGUACUAGAACAAAGUCUCGAAGAUGUUGAACUAAAGAUGCAAGAAAUCAAAGAAUCUCUCCCUAUUUUCUUCACUAGAAUGGCUCCCUCACACUUCUUAGAAAUGGAAAAUAUCAACUCCAAAAUGCCUUUGAGAUCUGUAUGCGACAAGGUUGUGUUAUGUGUUUCUGCAAUUGGUUUUGCAAAUGCCUUUGUGGAGACAAUUGGGAGGAUAGGAGCAUUGUAUGUGGAUCGACUAGACUUCAGUGACCACCAUUUAUUUCAAGCCAAGGAUGUUGAGAUGAUUAGAAUGAGACUUGGAAAACUACAGGACAAAUUUGGUUUGAAGCCUGUUGUUGUCGUUACUGAAAAGGACUACGAUCGGGACCCAGAGAUUCUUAAAAAUUUGGAUCCUUUCCAAGUUUUGAUACUGUGUUCCAAUCUGCAAUUUAUACCCCGUGAUGGACGUUCUGAGGACAGCUUCAAGAAAUUGGUGAAGCAGCUUCUGGAAGUAAAAUUAUCAGAUGGAAACUAGAUUUAAGCUUUGAUAAUUCAGAUCAAGGGUUUGGCCCUCUGCAAGCGUAGAACUAAUGGGUAUAUGUGCAGGGUGGUCCAAUCUGGAUACGAUGAAAAUGAACUUGUUGCAGAACAUCCUGUUGAACAAGUUGAGAUGUGUUUUGUAUGAACACAGUUUAGGAGCAAUUCAAUUACUUGGUCCUCUGUUCUUAUAUUUUCUUCGGUUUUUCUUCCAAGGUCAGAUGCCAUGUGGGUGAGAUCCCAUUAUAUAUUUUGCAAGAUCAAUCUUAAAUUAAUAUUCAAACAAAGGUAUGAUCCUAAGGAUUACUGGUCCAAGGCAAGACUACUUAUUCAGCAUGAUAUAGGAACACAGAGAGGCAUUACAAAAAUGGUAAGGCCUUUUCUCUUCCCUGAUCACUCUUUCUUCUGCAGCUGCUUGAGGAAAUCUUCAUUGUCUAUCAAUACCUAAAAUAAUACACAAACAGAGAACAAUUCAUUAGCCAAGAUAGGAUGAAAAACAGAGGAACCUUUUGAUGAAAGAACUCACAACUUUCCAGUCAUCUGGGUCGACAAAAGAAGUCAUUUUGGUGUUGAUUACAGGAAUUGGACCAGGUGGUUGUAUGAUCUUUCCUCCCAGUUCUUUGCUUACUAGCAAAACAGCUGCAGCACUCUUGUAUACAUCAUCUGUACUUACAGCAACCUAAGUAUAGAUUUCAUCUUUUAUCAGCAAACAAACCACUUUUUUUUUCCUUCCUUUUUUUUUUCUUUUUAGGAUUUAGUAUAAAAAGAGAAAAAAAUGGCUUCACCGACCUCAACGAAUCCGUUUCCUUUGGUAUACUCAGUUACAUUAUAGGUAUAUAUCAGCUCCAAAACAGUUGUUUCGUUCAUUUCUCCAUAGCCCACCAUGGCCAUAGUAUACUUUACAGUAGCACAUACAGAAGAAAAGACUGAGUUAGUCAUUCAA